This 253-nucleotide ribosomal RNA is filed under the name uncultured bacterium. Its description in RNAcentral is "partial 16S ribosomal RNA". It matches the Rfam family "Bacterial small subunit ribosomal RNA", at positions 524 to 776 of the family's 1533-position model. The record is from RNAcentral.
UACGUAGGGGGCGAGCGUUGUCCGGAUUUAUUGGGCGUAAAGAGCGUGUAGGCGGCCAGGUAGGUCUGCUGUGAAAACUCGAGGCUCAACCUCGAGACGUCGGCGGAAACCAUCUGGCUAGAGUCCGGAAGAGGAGAGUGGAAUUCCUGGUGUAGCGGUGAAAUGCGCAGAUAUCAGGAGGAACACCAGUGGCGAAGGCGGUUGCCUGGAGCUUUGCUGACGCUGAUGCGCGAAAGCGUGGGGAGCGAUCCGG